UACGGGGGGAGCAAGCGUUGUCCGGAUUUAUUGGGUUUAAAGGGUGCGUAGGCGGCCCGUUAAGUCAGUGGUGAAAGCCUCCAGCUCAACUGGAGAACUGCCAUUGAUACUGACGGGCUUGAGUACAGACGAGGUUGGCGGAAUUGAUUGUGUAGCGGUGAAAUGCAUAGAUACAAUCAAGAACUCCGAUUGCGUAGGCAGCUAACUAGGCUGUAACUGACGCUGAGGCACGAAAGCGUGGGGAGCGAACAGG
This 253-nucleotide ribosomal RNA is filed under the name uncultured bacterium. RNAcentral's name for it is "partial 16S ribosomal RNA". It matches the Rfam family "Bacterial small subunit ribosomal RNA", at positions 524 to 776 of the family's 1533-position model. The record is from RNAcentral.